Molecule: ribosomal RNA, 860 nt
Filed under: Neodicrothrix grandcaputus
Lineage: Eukaryota; Metazoa; Arthropoda; Arachnida; Trombidiformes; Eriophyidae
Description: partial large subunit ribosomal RNA
Rfam family: Eukaryotic large subunit ribosomal RNA
Source: RNAcentral
AAAUAGAACUUUGCAGAGAGAGUUAACAGGGCGUGAAACCGUUAAUUGGGAAACGAAUCGGAGCCACGAAGUCGUUUCGUUGUUGAGCCUCGGGCUGAGUUCAGCUUAAAUAUAUAGAAAUGUUUAGGUGUAUUCUUGUGCCUGGCCAACUUUGUAAGCGUACACUGCAACCAGUUAGACGAUUGGAGAUGGAACCAGUAGUUUAGUUAGUAGUAGCGCUGACAGUCUUGUAUUGUUUUGUGUUGCUGAACUAGUAAUGAGUGAGCUAUCUCCAAAGACUGACUGGCACAAUGACAAUCACUUUGCAACAAUAGUGUUAUAUAGAACGCGGUUAGUCGUACACAUUGCUACACUAUUGACCAUUAGGUCUUAAGUUCGGCAUCUUUGAAUUUGGACUUGCUAGCUACCAAUGGGGGCAACCUCUCGGUGCUAGUAUAGCUUCCAUCUAAUCGGGCGUUGACUUGGCCUAGUGUUGUUUAGUAGUGAAACGAUUGGUGGUGUGUAUGAAUUAAUUUGCAAUCUUAUUGGCAGUGAGUAGGUCGGCUUUCCGAACGACCCGUCUUGAAACACGGACCAAGGAGUCUAAUUAGGUAUCGAGUCGAUCGGUCUUGAAUAGGCCAGUAAGGCGUAGAGACAAUCGUGUAUCUUGAAUGCAACAGUUCGCGAGCGCAACAUGUGCCUGUUCGUAUAAGAGUGUAGUAAUAAUCUUGGCGGAGCAUUGAGAUACCUGAUUGGUACCCGAAAGAUGGUGAUGCUUGGGCAAGUUGAAGCCAGAGGAAACUCUGGUGGAGGACUUAGAUUCUGACGUGCAAAUCGAUCGUCAGACCUGAGUAUAGGGGCGAAAGACUAAUCGAACCAUC